CGGAGCAUGCGGCUUAAUUCGACGCAACGCGAAGAACCUUACCAAGGCUUGACAUAUACAGGAAUAUGGCAGAGAUGUCAUAGCCGCAAGGUCUGUAUACAGGUGGUGCAUGGUUGUCGUCAGCUCGUGUCGUGAGAUGUUGGGUUAAGUCCCGCAACGAGCGCAACCCUCGUUCUGUGUUGCCAGCAUUUAGUUGGGGACUCACAGGAGACUGCCGGGGUUAACUCGGAGGAAGGUGGGGAUGACGUCAAAUCAUCAUGCCCCUUAUGUCUUGGGCUGCAUGCAUGCUACAAUGGCUGGUACAAACGGCUGCGAUACCGCAAGGUGGAGCGAAUCCGAUAAAGCCAGUCUCAGUUCGGAUUGGGGUCUGCAACUCGACCCCAUGAAGUCGGAGUUGCUAGUAAUCGUAGAUCAGCAACGCUACGGUGAAUACGUUCCCGGGGCUUGUACACACCGCCCGUCACAUCACGA
This 471-nucleotide ribosomal RNA is filed under the name uncultured Actinomycetes bacterium. RNAcentral describes it as "bacterial SSU rRNA". It matches the Rfam family "Bacterial small subunit ribosomal RNA", at positions 933 to 1407 of the family's 1533-position model. Lineage: Bacteria; Bacillati; Actinomycetota; Actinomycetes. The record is from RNAcentral.